Falco peregrinus (peregrine falcon) is the source of this 2265-nucleotide long non-coding RNA. RefSeq lists it as uncharacterized. NCBI's taxonomy places the organism in Eukaryota, Metazoa, Chordata, Aves, Falconiformes, Falconidae. The transcript has 2 exons. The record is from RefSeq and is a predicted model, not a curated record.
GGAGAAGAGAAGAGAGACAGGCGAGACGGACGGGAGCUGCUCUGAUGUUAAACAGAGACGGGGAAGAGAGAGCGGAGCCCAUGAGCGCCCCGGUGAGCAGCCCAGUGCCGGGGACAGGGACUAAACCUGGAACCAAAACCCAAAAGCUUUCAGGAUACUCAUGGAUGAAACCUGCAUGGACUUUAUAGCCCAGUUCCACCUGCCAAGACCAUCUUCACCACCACCAUGGGCCUGGGUCAGUAUGUAGCUUCCCCCACGCUGGUUAGUUCACGCACAAGGUGGGCAACCCCACGCAGCCCUGCCUGCCAAACCCGAGCUGGCUCUUGUCAGGUCCUCAAGAGGUCCUCGGAGAAUGGAUCGCUCUUUACAUUAACACACUAAAUUGACCCAAGCAAUUCUUGGACAAAUCUAAACCUUCUUUUUCUGAGAGUGUAGAGAUCGCUGCCUUAAUUAGCAAGUGAAAUCAGACCUCAGCAGCAGCCCAGUGCCACAGCUCGGUGCAAAGAGCAUCCUGGGGUAACCCCGGAGGGUGUUGCGGCAGCCCCAUGUUAGAUGGAUGUUAUCUACCACAGCCGCUGAAGCACAGAGCAGCAAAGGCAAAUGCCACCUGCAGUGACAGUGGCAGUGACAGCGGGCCACUGCAGCAGAGCUAUGACAGUGCCCACACCAGUGCCUGAUGCCAGGAUGGCUGCAGGUGGUGGCAGGCAGAGGCUGGGGGGGGGCGGCACAGGGAAGCCCCUGCCACCUUCCCCAACGUGCCCCUCUGCCUGGACACAAAGGGAAUGAGCCUGAGCUCGGGCUGGGCAGGAGGGAGGGCAUCAUUCCUGAGUCACCCACAGGCUGCACGGAGCGGGGCUGGGCAGGGACACGGGGUCAUGAUGUGCCGGCACUUGGGUCCCUGCCUGCACCCACUGCCUCUUCUCCUGGGCUCUUUCUCAUCUGUGAGUAACCCCGGGAGCUGCUGCGGCAGAGGCAGAGGAGCCAGGGUUCAGCAGGAGGUGGCUGCACAGCCUGGGAUGGGGAGCUAAUGCAAGCCGAGGCUUUUUGCUGGUGCAUUAGUCACUGAAGAUUGCAUCGCUUCACAGGCAUCCAUCCCCUCCUCAACCCCGAUGGGGCUCAGGGAACCACAAGUUGUCUGAGAGAUUUGUAUUUCCCCCAAAAUAAAAUGCCACCUGUGCAGACAGAGCUGGGAGUGGUGGGCCAGCGGGGACCCCACAGCACCCCAUGGCCGUCCAGGCUGCGCCCCUCGCCCCACAGGGAGCACACACCCUGCGGGCUGGGGCAGGCGAUGGAGCUGUGACGCUGACGUUAGCUGGAGAGCUGGAAAGUUUUCUACAUACCAGCAUUAGCAGGAAUGUUAUUUACUGAGUGAGGAGAGGUCUGACAGGAGAAAGCCUCUUACCCAGCUCUUCCCCAUGUAUGGCUGUGGACCGGCGUUACUCAGCAGGAUACAGCACAGACAGAGGCACCGGCGCCGCGGGACGGCUCUCCUCAGAGGAAGCUGGAUGUGGGAUGGGGGGCACCUCCCCGUGCCCCCGAGCAGCCAGCUGGGCUUUCACCAUUCACCCCACCGAGCAAUGGCUUGCCCCAAGCUGUGUUGGGGUUGAUUCCCAGGACCCCCACGGCUGCCUGUCCUGGCUCAGCUGGAUUUUGUAGAAGCAGGGGGACACAGAUGGGACAUUGCCAUCAGCAUGUGGCCCUGGGGAUACAUCAGGGCAUGGGGAGGCUGCCUUCAUGGGGAGCAAGAUGAGUGGAGCAUUGCACUGAGAAGAAACACAGGCCUGCCCUUUCCCUUAAUAAGCCUCCUUACAGCUCAAAGCAAAUAUUUUUAUAAAAGUGGGAUUUCACUUCCCAUUUGUAUUUCUGACAUUUGGCGAAAGCUGACAGUGAACAUGUUCAAAGAGAAACAACACUGUUUCCUGAACCUGUGGACUUUUCCCAGCCCCAACGUGGCCCCGGGGAAGCCCGUCUGUGUCCCUCCUGUUGCCCAGGGCUGCCCAUGGGUGGGGGGAUGCCUCCACUCAGGAUAAUUAUUGGUCACAGAGGGGGUGGAUUUUCCUGAGUCACAGGCACAUCCAAAGGCUCUGCUCUUCUCCCCAAGGACUUCAAAGGCUUCGUAAACAUAAAUAGGUGUAGCCCCAGAGUUCAGUCAAUAGAGCCUCCUCUGCCAGGGGGGACAUGGGGGGUGUGAGUCUCAGCAGCCUCAAAAGCACCCAAGGUUGCACUAUGCACAGCCAAGCAAUUAAACUCAGGCACUUUUCUUCU